This 253-nucleotide ribosomal RNA is filed under the name uncultured bacterium. Its description in RNAcentral is "partial 16S ribosomal RNA". It matches the Rfam family "Bacterial small subunit ribosomal RNA", at positions 524 to 776 of the family's 1533-position model. The record is from RNAcentral.
UACGUAGGGUCCGAGCGUUGUCCGGAAUUAUUGGGCGUAAAGGGCUCGUAGGCGGUUUGUCACGUCGGGCGUGAAAACUCAGGGCUCAACCCUGAGCGUGCGUUCGAUACGGGCAGACUAGAGGUAUGCAGGGGAGAACGGAAUUCCUGGUGUAGCGGUGGAAUGCGCAGAUAUCAGGAGGAACACCGGUGGCGAAGGCGGUUCUCUGGGCAUUACCUGACGCUGAGGAGCGAAAGCAUGGGGAGCAAACAGG